CAGCCCUUAAUCAAAACUAGUGUAAAUAUCAUCAUAAUACAUAUAACAUGAUUUUCUGCACAAGCAAAACAACCAAUCGGUAAGCCUUCAUCUCUAAAAAUAUUCUUUGUUGCUUGAACCAUGCCAGUCAGUGUACUUUGAUGGUUCAUAUUAGCUUCUUUGAAGGAAAACUCAUGAAGUUGUUAGCUCCAGUUGAACCUACAAAGACAACAUGAAUAUAAGCAUACAUCACAGGACAAGCGAGUCCAACUCGCUUAAAGAGGGUACAACAUGAAUGUAUAGCAAACAGUCACAUAAAAUUUUAGUCUAUAGCAAGCAUAGAAGAAUGAAAAACAAUAAACUCAAAGCAUUGUUUCAGAACCUUAGAAGGUUGACUAACAUGUUUGUUUAAAGGUGCAAGCAGAAAUAAC
RNAcentral lists this long non-coding RNA (410 nucleotides) under Cucumis sativus (cucumber). RNAcentral describes it as "long non-coding RNA (CSAT_LNC002773)". The record is from RNAcentral. Lineage: Eukaryota; Viridiplantae; Streptophyta; Magnoliopsida; Cucurbitales; Cucurbitaceae.